RNAcentral lists this ribosomal RNA (253 nucleotides) under uncultured bacterium. Its description in RNAcentral is "partial 16S ribosomal RNA". It matches the Rfam family "Bacterial small subunit ribosomal RNA", at positions 524 to 776 of the family's 1533-position model. The record is from RNAcentral.
UACGUAGGGGGCAAGCGUUGUCCGGAUUUACUGGGCGUAAAGAGCGCGCAGGCGGUCGUUCAAGUCGAGUGUGAAAGCCCCCGGCUCAACUGGGGAGGGUCACGCGAUACUGAUCGACUCGAAGGCAGGAGAGGGUAGUGGAAUUCCCGGUGUAGUGGUGAAAUGCGUAGAUAUCGGGAGGAACACCAGUGGCGAAGGCGACUACCUGGCCUGUUCUUGACGCUGAGGCGCGAAAGCUAGGGGAGCAAACGGG